Long non-coding RNA from Ricinus communis (castor bean), 3062 nucleotides. RefSeq lists it as uncharacterized. NCBI's taxonomy places the organism in Eukaryota, Viridiplantae, Streptophyta, Magnoliopsida, Malpighiales, Euphorbiaceae. The transcript is spliced from 4 exons. The record is from RefSeq and is a predicted model, not a curated record.
CAAGCUGAGCAGUGUGACCUUUAGCACAUAUAAGUCCAAUCCCAUAUCCGCAUCUGUAAAUGGACCGGUUUAUGGUGAAGUGUUUCUUGUUGGGAUUCAUAGUUUCACUUCAAAUGAAUGGACACUUUGGUUGCUUUCAAGAAGAGAGGUUGGCUCUCUUAGAUUUUAAAGCAUCUGUCCUGUCUAAUGAAGAUUAUAAUGCAGACCUGCUUCUGCCUUCAUGGACUACUACUGCUGUAGUUGGGAGCGACUCACGUGUGACUCCACCGGAGGUCACGUGAUCAUCCUUUGUCUUAAUGAAACAAGGCCGAAUUAUGAUGAUAUGAGUGGUUGGUACCUUAAUAUUUCUCUAUCCCACCAUUUUAAAGGAGCUUAGAAGCCUUAAGUUGUCAUAUAAUGCAAUUGCUGAAUUCAUCGACUAUGAAGAUAUUAUUAUAUUUUUUGGGUUUUUUUUUCUUUUUUGCAGUCACUUUAAUUUAUAGAUACUCUGUUGUUUAUAUCCAUAAUAAAUAAAUAACAAUGAAGCAGUAGAUACCCUUUUCUUAUUAUUUUUUGACGUUCUGAGAAUUUAAUUCUAAAUACAAUUUGAUGUCUCUAAGAAUUUUCAGAUUCCAAAAGUUUGUCUGAACUGAACAAGCUAGAGCAUUUAGACUUGAGCUGGAAGUAUCUUGACAAAGAAGUAUUUAAGGUGUUGAUGAAUUCUCAGCCCUCAAAUCUUUAUUCCUGCAAUCUAAUGUUAUCACAGGUUCACUAUCUAACCCAGAUCUUGCGGCACUGAGUAACUUGAAGGUACUUAAUCUGAAGUUCAAUCAGCUGAAUGGAACUCUGCCAAUUCAUUAUUUAGCCAGUUUCAGUAGCUUGGAGAUUUUAGACUUGAGCUGGAAUGAAUUCACUGGCAGCAUUUCGUCAAACAUAGAGCAUCUAUCAUCUCUCAAGGCUUUAACUCUGUCAAAUAAUUAUCUCAAUGGCUCUUGACCAACUCAAGGGUUAUGUCAACUGCAGAAACUUGAAGAGCUAGAUCUUAGUCAGAACUCAUUCCUAGGGACUAUUCCCCCAUGCUUAAGCAAUUUGACAUCUCUUAGACUGUUAGAUCUAUCUGCAAACAAAUUCUCAGGAAAAAUUUCUUCAUCUAUGGUAGCAGGCCUAACAUCACUCCAGUACAUUGAUCUCAGUCAUAAUCAAUUUGAAGGUGUAUUCUCCUUCAGCUCAUUCUCUAAUCAUUCCAGACUUGAGGUGGUUCAGAUUGUGAACGAUAAAGACAACUUUGAAGUUGAAACUGAAUAUUUAAGUUGGAAUUCGUUAUUUCAAUUAAAGGUCCUUCUACUACCUAACUGUAAUUUGAACAAGUUCUCCAAAAUUAUUCCUACGUUCCUCUUUCAGCGGCAUGAGUUGAGAGUUCUUAAUCUUGCUCACAACAAUUUGAAAGGAAGGAUAGACUGGUUGCUCGGCAAAAAUACUAGACUUGAAUUUCUUUCUUUGAGGAAUAAUUCAUUUGUAGGUCAGCUUCUUCUACCACCACUUCGCAGUGAAACAACCUGUGGAUUGAUAUAUCAGACAAUCAGUUGUACGGGAAAAUUCAACCGAACAUAGGGAAGAUAUUUCCCAAUGGAAUUUAUUUUAAUUUUUCCAAAAACGCUUUCAAAGGUAGCAUCCCGUCCUCAAUUGGCGACAUGCUUUACUUGGAGCAGCUGGACAUGUCUUUCAACUUCUCAGGAGAAAUACCUAUAGAAGUGGUUGCUAAUUUGGUCAGGUUGCAGACUCUGAAACUGUCAGGUAAUGGAUUUCAUGGUCGAAUAUUUUCAGUAAAUUUCAACCUGACAUGGUUAGAGUUUUUGUACCUGGACAACAAUCAGUUUACAGGAUCUCUGUCGAAUGUGAUCUUGAGAAGCUCACAACUUGGCGUAUUGGAUAUUAGCAACAAUAACAUUUCCGGUAGCAUUUCAAAGUGGAUAAGCAACAUGACUUAUUUGAGGACGUUUGCCAUGCGAAGCAAUAAACCUUCCGGAAGGUUUACUUCCCUGCGAGAUUCCAUUCAACUUCGACGUUUUAGACCUUUCUUACAACCAUUUGACAGGAUCAAUACCUUCUUGCUUGAAUGUGAAAACUUUAUGGGGGUUGUAUUUGCAAGGGAACAAGUUCACAGGUUCAAUAUCUCAACUCUUCGACGCUGGCUGUAUUAGACAUCAGUGAGAAUCGCUUAUCAAUAAAAAUCCCUGAUUCAAUAACUGCACUACCCAAUUUAAAUGUUCUUCUGUUGAAAGGAAAUAAACUGAGUGGUGCAAUUCCGAGUCAGUUAUGCAAACUGAACAAUAUAGCCCUGAUGGAUCUGUCCAACAACUUUUUCUCUGCUUCCAUAGCUCAAUGCUUCUACAACAUCACCUUUAACGAAGCAUUGAAUUACUAUCCAUUCAUUUCUUCAAAUUUUAGGAGAACAUUUAUGUCUAUGUAAGCUUCCUGCUUGGGCAGUACACAGUUUAUGAUCCAAAUGAUGCCUAUACAUAUGAAGAUGGCGUGAUCGGUUUUCUCACUGAAAGCAGGUCUCAUUCAUACAAUGGUGGCAUUCUUGAUUUUAGGUCCGGAUUGGAUCUGUCUUCCAACAAACUCAGUGGAGAAAUUACUUGCGAACUUGGAAAACUAAAUUGGAUAAACGCAGUAAACUUAUCUCGAAAUCACUUGACAGGCUCCAUCCCGGGAACUUUAUCAAACUCAAGUCAAAUUGAGAGCUUGGAUCUCUCUUACAACAGCUUGAGCGGAGCAAUCCCGCAAGAACUAACAAAUCUCCACUUCCUGAAGUUCUUCAGUGUGGCUUACAACAAUUUAUCAGGUAGCAUUCCAGAUAUCAAGCCACAAUUCACCAUACUUGCAAGGAAAUGAUUCAAAAUUUGCAGCAUUAUCUCAUUGGAUUACUCACUCUUCAUAAGCUCUGCUGUUCUUUAUUUUCGGUCAGUCAAACAUUAAUGGCUGACAUGAAUAAUCAGCUAUCAUGUGCUGCUGCAAAUGCAUGUGCUUUAAGUUACUUCCUGUACUGAUAUAUGCUAAUAAAAAUAAUUGCUUGCUUGCAA